AGUGAACGCUGGCGGUAGGCCUAACACAUGCAAGUCGAACGGCAGCACAGUAAGCGCUUGCUCUUACGGUUGGCGAGUGGCGGACGGGUGAGGAAUACAUCAGCAUCUACUUUUUCGUGGGGGAUAACGUAGGGACACUUAUGCUAAUACCUCAUAUUUCCUACGGGUUAAUUCAAGGGAUCUUCGCACCCUUCCUGUUUCUAUGAGCUGAUUCCGCGUUGCAUUAGCUAGUUGGUAAGGUAACGGCUUACCAAGGCAACGAUGCAUAGCUGAGCUGAGAGGAUGAUCAGCCACACUGGAACUGAGACACGGUCCAGACUCCUACGGGAGGCAGCAGUGGGGAAUAUUGGGCAAUGGGCGCAAGCCUGACGGAGCAAUACCGCGUGAGUGAAGAAGGCCUUCGGGUUGUAAAGCUCUGUUGUUGGGAAAGAAAAGCAGCAGGAGAAAACGCCGAUGUUCUGACGGUACCCAAAGAAAAAGCAACGGCUAACUUCGUG
Molecule: ribosomal RNA, 497 nt
Filed under: uncultured bacterium
Lineage: Bacteria
Description: partial 16S ribosomal RNA
Rfam family: Bacterial small subunit ribosomal RNA
Source: RNAcentral